UCUCCUGCUCUGCCUUUAACUCCAGCUAUAAGAGUUCCUGGAAAAUUACAAUCCUGCAUUUGAUCAUUUGACACAAUAAUCAUCUCAGUUUCCCUUUUCAUCUGUCACUCCCCUGCAUCAUUAAUGAGUUAAACUUUAUAGUACUUCUGAUGACAUUGGGAAAUGUGACCAUGUGGAAAGCAAAAUCCAAAAGCUGAAGUUGGCAAAGUGUGAGGAGCUCAGGCAGAGCAGACUUGACAGCUGGUUCAAGCCAGAAGCAUCUGCCUGAAUGUUGCAGAUUGAAUACACUGCCAAAAAGCAAGAUGAUUUCAUAUAAAGUCUGUCUUAUAUGGCUUUAUAUUGGACAAGGGUGGCAUUCUUUCUCUUUUCAAAGGAAGUUGUUUACUGCUCAGAUCUUCAAGCACCUGACACGGAAACAGCAGGGACAGUCAAUCCUGGCAAUAGAGAUAAAGCAAACCCAGCAGGACAGAUCAAAAUAACAAGUUGAAGUCAAGGGUAGCCAAACAUUUUACAAAUCUCUGUAGCUAAAUACCAUCUACAUACACUUCUAAGAAAAAAAGUUCUCAAAUUAAGCACUAAGAGGCAGAUUAAAUUCCAGGAUUUACAUGCUGCAAUAACCAGCACUCUUGUGCCUUCAAAUGAAGGGCAAAAUGAAAAAAGGGAAAAGAAAAAGGAAAAAAUAAUGUGAACUGGACAGAGAAUUCAGUAGAUUAUCACAAGCAACUGUAGGUACUGUAUAAAAUUACCUAUUUAUAUUAGGAGAACUAUUCCUUUGUUAAGAGGGUGGAACAGUUAAUUAGGUGACCAUACAGCUUGCAUGCAUUUAUAACCCAGGUACUAUGCUCCUGAACAUGAAUUCCAGUUUUAGUGGGGAAAAUGACAGACACUACUGAUAAUGUAUUAAAUUAUUAAUUUUUUUUGUUUAAGUAAGUGGUUAUUUUGCUCACUGGUACAUACAUUCCAGGAAAAUCUAGUGUCCCAAGCUAGAAUGAAAAGCCUUUUUCUUUCCCUGCAUGAACUUAUGCAAUGCUCUCUAGGAAUCUGUUCUUGAGUUUUACUAAACUUUUCUGUGCUUGUAGAUUUUCUUUUUUAAACCUGAUUUUAUUAAUUCACAGAAGACUACAUAGCUCAACUUUCUUCUGACUUGCAUUUUCAUAUUAACUAUGAGCCCAGAUCAUAGGCUAGAACUGCACUGUGCCAGAACCUUACAAACAGAGUGAAUACGUAAACUAUAGGCUCUUUGGGACAGGAAUCAAGAGUUAGGCAAUAAUGGAUGGGUAUAAACAAUCCAGCAAAGUACUGGAAAUUAAAACUUUCAUGAGUGGGUCCUUCGAAAGUCUGUGGACAGUUUUAAUUCAAACCUUGGGAAACAAACAUGUUGCUCAAUGCAACACCUCCAGAAAUAAACCUGUUAAGGUGGAAAUGUUACAGAAACAAAAUGAUAAUAAUUUAGAACUUCAUUAUUCCUGAGUUUGUUUUGGAAUGAUACUGCCAGGGACGGUUCUUUUGCAAGGGCACAGCAUGCCUCCUGACUGUACUCCCUCAGCCAUUUAGGAUUUUUGGUAAUUCCAAUUACUUUUUAGGAACUGUUCCUGACCAUAGUAUUCACCAAACUCUGCACUGGGCUGAGCUAAAACCACAGCCAUGACCAUGCUAAGGCAUGGAUGGUAUGGAAGACGUGCUAGUGCUUGGUCCUUUCUAGAGAUUUAACUGGUGAGAAUAGCUAUGAGCUGGAGUACAACACAAGCAAGGAUUUCAGAAUCAGUUGGCACAGGUUGUUCCAGAGAAGAAUCUGCUGUCCUAGGUUCAGCUGUAACAGUUAUUUUUCUCCUUCCUUGUAGCUGGUGAAGUGCUGUGUUCCAGCUUUAGUCUGAGAACAAUGCUGAUAACUCACCAAUGUUUUAGUUCUUCCUAAGUGAUGCUUACCCUGAUCAAGGACUUUUCAGUCUCACGCUCCACCAGUGAGGAGGGACACAAGAAACUGGGAGGAAGCAGAGACAGGACACCUGAUGCAAACUAGCCAAAGGGGUAUUCCAUACUACAAUACGUCAUGCCCAGCAUAUAAACUGGGAGGGAGUAACCCAGAAGGGCAGCUCACUGCUUGAGUCCAGUUGGGUAUUGGUCAGCGGGUGGUGAGCAAUUGUAUUGUGCAUCAUUUGAGUUUAUUUUUUUCUUUCCCUUUUUAGUUUUAUAUUCUCUCCCCUUGCUAUUUCCAUUAUGAUUAUUAUUAUUAUACUUUAAUUACUGGACUGCUCUUAUCUCAACCUGUAGAGUUUACAUUCUUUCAAUUCUCCUCCCCAUUCUGCCCGGAGGAGGGGAGAAGGAGAGUGAGCAAAUGGCUGUGUGGUUCUGCGUUACCAGCUGGGUAAACCACAACUGUCCUGCAUCAUGGUCACACCAUCAAUAAGAACAGAGUGCAAAAGCACAGAAGGAUGAAGGUGUCCUGCUGUUAACGAAAGCUUACUGCUGCUCAGUAUUUAUGUUGCUCCUUAAAAAAGCAUGACCUUGCACAUGGAACAAUUAAAUAUGUAGAGCAUUAUGCUGUGGGUUAUUCUAUAUCAAUCAGCAGAUGGUUGGACAUGAUAAAUAACACAAUACUGCACUUCAAAGCUGAGGCUCUAGCUUCUGGAUAUCUGGAAGCAGAGAAGGGAAAGCGUGGCUGAGGCUGUGGAAAGACAGUGGUUUUGAUUCAGUAUUUUACAAUCAUGUUUUUUUUCUAGUAUAGUAGUGAAAGACCAUAGUGGGACAACAGGUUAGAGCAGUCCUGGAUGGUGAUGGCUGAAGAAUACCACCCCCUUGGAGGGAACACAAUACAGGAUACCUUUCCACAUGAAUAUGGCAGGCAAAGCACUGGUCAGGAUCCACAGCCAGCACAGACACAGCCAGUAUUUACACCAGGGAUGGGGUUAUUUACCAGCACGUCUCAUCGCCUACUGACUGCCCACCGGCAAGGGAUUAGGGAUAUGCCUGAGAAAUGAAACUGCAGAUACUUCUGAGCUCAGUUGCAUAUUGUUUUCUCCUUGGAAUUAAGUAAACAUCUUGUUUGUUGAGCCCAAGCAGAAACUGUUUUCACUGACUCUUCUGUUCUAAAACUGAGGUGAACUCAUUAGUGUAUUGGUGUAACUGGGGAUGAAGGAGAACAUGAAGCAGGGAUUCGAGUAUGUGAGCACCAAGGGCCAUCACCCAGCAGUGCUGUCGUAGUUGUGUGUUGUACAAAGAUGAGCAAAC
Pezoporus occidentalis (night parrot) is the source of this 3228-nucleotide long non-coding RNA. RefSeq lists it as uncharacterized. Lineage: Eukaryota; Metazoa; Chordata; Aves; Psittaciformes; Psittacidae. The transcript has 3 exons. The record is from RefSeq and is a predicted model, not a curated record.